This 74-nucleotide transfer RNA is filed under the name Candidatus Woesearchaeota archaeon. Its description in RNAcentral is "tRNA-Trp". It matches the Rfam family "tRNA". From Rfam's summary of the family: Transfer RNA (tRNA) molecules are approximately 80 nucleotides in length. The record is from RNAcentral. Lineage: Archaea; Nanobdellati; Candidatus Woesearchaeota.
GGGGACGUAGUAUAACCUGGCUAGAAUAUCAGGCUCCAGACCUGAGGAUCGGGGUUCGAAUCCCCGCGUCCCCA